CCUACGGGUCGCACCAGUGGGGAAUCUUGCGCAAUGCGCGAAAGCGUGACGCAGCAACGCCGCGUGGAGGAAGACGGCCUUCGGGUUGUAAACUCCUUUCAGUUGGGACGAAGCUUCACUGGUUAAGAGCUGGUUGGAGUGACGGUACCUUAGAAGAAGCCCCGGCUAACUACGUGCCAGCAGCCGCGGUAAUACGUAGGGGGCAAGCGUUGUCCGGAAUCAUUGGGCGUAAAGCGCGUGUAGGCGGCCUUGUAAGUCCGUUCUGAAAGUCCGGGGCUCAACCCCGGGAGGCGGAUGGAUACUGCAAGGCUCGAGUACGGAAGAGGCGAGUGGAAUUCCCGGUGUAGCGGUGAAAUGCGCAGAUAUCGGGAGGAACACCAAUGGCGAAGGCAGCUCGCUGGGACGUUACUGACGCUGAGACGCGAAAGCGUGGGGAGCAAACAGGAUUAGAUACCCCAGUAGUC
This 464-nucleotide ribosomal RNA is filed under the name uncultured bacterium. Its description in RNAcentral is "bacterial SSU rRNA". It matches the Rfam family "Bacterial small subunit ribosomal RNA", at positions 338 to 795 of the family's 1533-position model. The record is from RNAcentral.